This 71-nucleotide transfer RNA is filed under the name Bos taurus (domestic cattle). It matches the Rfam family "tRNA". Rfam says of the family: Transfer RNA (tRNA) molecules are approximately 80 nucleotides in length. Their secondary structure includes four short double-helical elements and three loops (D, anti-codon, and T loops). Further hydrogen bonds mediate the characteristic L-shaped molecular structure. tRNAs have two regions of fundamental functional importance: the anti-codon, which is responsible for specific mRNA codon recognition, and the 3' end, to which the tRNAs corresponding amino acid is attached (by aminoacyl-tRNA synthetases). tRNAs cope with the degeneracy of the genetic code in two manners: having more than one tRNA (with a specific anti-codon) for a particular amino acid; and 'wobble' base-pairing, i.e. permitting non-standard base-pairing at the 3rd anti-codon position. RNAcentral also lists the same sequence under 4 other names. The record is from Rfam by way of RNAcentral. Lineage: Eukaryota; Metazoa; Chordata; Mammalia; Artiodactyla; Bovidae.
UUCCUGAUAACUCAGCUGUAAAGAAUCUGCCUGCAAUGCAGGAGACCUGGGUUUGAUCCCAAGUUGGGAAG